This 263-nucleotide ribosomal RNA is filed under the name uncultured bacterium. RNAcentral describes it as "partial 16S ribosomal RNA". It matches the Rfam family "Bacterial small subunit ribosomal RNA", at positions 524 to 786 of the family's 1533-position model. The record is from RNAcentral.
UACGUAGGUGGCGAGCGUUAUCCGGAUUUACUGGGUGUAAAGGGUGUGUAGGCGGGAUGACAAGUCAGAUGUGAAAGACCGUGGCUUAACUACGGCACUGCAUCAGAAACUGUUAUUCUUGAGUGUGGGAGAGGUAAGCGGAAUUCCUGGUGUAGCGGUGAAAUGCGUAGAUAUCAGGAGGAACACCGGUGGCGAAGGCGGCUUACUGGACCACAACUGACGCUGAUACACGAAAGCGUGGGGAGCAAACAGGAUUAGAUACC